This 371-nucleotide unclassified non-coding RNA is filed under the name uncultured Sphingobacteriaceae bacterium. Its description in RNAcentral is "contains 16S-23S intergenic spacer region". Lineage: Bacteria; Pseudomonadati; Bacteroidota; Sphingobacteriia; Sphingobacteriales; Sphingobacteriaceae. The record is from RNAcentral.
UCCCGUUUGACACGGGCAGUCCCUCUAGAGUGCCCAACUAAAUGAUGGCAACUAGAGGCAAGGGUUGCGCUCGUUGCGGGACUUAACCCAACACCUCACGGCACGAGCUGACGACAGCCAUGCAGCACCUAGUUUCGUGUCCCGAAGGACGUACCCAUCUCUGGAUACUUCACUAACUUUCAAGCCCGGGUAAGGUUCCUCGCGUAUCAUCGAAUUAAACCACAUGCUCCUCCGCUUGUGCGGGCCCCCGUCAAUUCCUUUGAGUUUCAUCCUUGCGGACGUACUCCCCAGGUGGAAUACUUAAUGCUUUCGCGUGGACGCUGACAGUGUAUCGCCAACAUCGAGUAUUCAUCGUUUAGGGCGUGGACUAC